RNAcentral lists this ribosomal RNA (230 nucleotides) under uncultured bacterium. RNAcentral describes it as "partial 16S ribosomal RNA". It matches the Rfam family "Bacterial small subunit ribosomal RNA", at positions 563 to 791 of the family's 1533-position model. The record is from RNAcentral.
AAGGGUGCGUAGGCGGCCUGUUAAGUCAGGGGUGAAAGACGGUAGCUCAACUAUCGCAGUGCCCUUGAUACUGAUGGGCUUGAAUGUACUAGAGGUAGGCGGAAUGUGACAAGUAGCGGUGAAAUGCAUAGAUAUGUCACAGAACACCAAUUGCGAAGGCAGCUUACUAUGGUAUGAUUGACGCUGAGGCACGAAAGCGUGGGGAUCAAACAGGAUUAGAUACCCCUUGU